CCAGGCUCGAACGGCAUUGGACAUCCGGCGAAAGCCGGCUCCCGCAAGGGCCGAUGUCGAGGUGCUGCAUGGCUGUCGUCAGCUCGUGUCGUGAGAUGUUGGGUUAAGUCCCGCAACGAGCGCAACCCUUGUCCGCUGUUGCCAUCACGUUAUGGUGGGCACUCUGCGGAGACUGCCGGUGAUAAACCGGAGGAAGGUGGGGAUGACGUCAAGUCAGCAUGGCCUUUAUGUCUGGGGCUACACACGUGCUACAAUGGCCGGUACAAACCGUCGCGAUACCGCAAGGUGGAGCUAAUCGGAGAAAGCCGGUCUCAGUUCGGAUUGCAGGCUGCAACUCGCCUGCAUGAAGUUGGAAUCGCUAGUAAUCGCGGAUCAGCACGCCGCGGUGAAUACGUUCCCGGGCCUUGUACACACCGCCCGUCACAUCACGAAAGCUGGCUGUACUAGAAGUCACCGCGCUAACCCGCAAGGGAGGCAAGUGCCUAAGGUAUGGUCAGUGAUUGGGGUG
RNAcentral lists this ribosomal RNA (508 nucleotides) under uncultured bacterium. RNAcentral's name for it is "bacterial SSU rRNA". It matches the Rfam family "Bacterial small subunit ribosomal RNA", at positions 975 to 1482 of the family's 1533-position model. The record is from RNAcentral.